GUUGGUGAACCAGCGGAGGGAUCAUUACAGAGUUGCAAAACUCCCUAAACCAUCGUGAACGUUACCCCACAAUCGUUGCUUCGGCGGGCGGCGCCUCACCCGGCGCCCCCUGCCAGGGGCCCUAACGGGCGUCCGCCGGAGGCCUAUAACCCUUGUAUUAUUUUACGGCUUCUCUGAGUUUAUACUUAAAUAAGUCAAAACUUUCAACAACGGAUCUCUUGGUUCUG
RNAcentral lists this unclassified non-coding RNA (227 nucleotides) under rhizosphere metagenome. RNAcentral describes it as "partial ribosomal RNA internal transcribed spacer region". The record is from RNAcentral.